This is a non-coding RNA of Cheilinus undulatus (humphead wrasse), 82 nucleotides long. NCBI's taxonomy places the organism in Eukaryota, Metazoa, Chordata, Actinopteri, Labriformes, Labridae. The record is from the annotation of a RefSeq genome assembly.
GUUGUUGUGGCCUAGUGUUUAAGGCGAUGGACUAGAAAUCCAUUGGGGUCUGCCUGCAUAGGUUUGAAUCCUACCAACAACA